ACGCUGGCGGCAGGCCUAACACAUGCAAGUCGUACGAGAGUUUUUAACUCUAGUGGCGGACGGGUGAGUAACACGUGAGAAUUUGCCUUUAGGAGGGGGACAACAAUCGGAAACGAAUGCUAAUACCCCAUAUGCUUUCGAGUGAAAUGGAUUUUAUCCGCCUAGAGAGAAGCUCGCGGCUGAUUAGCUUGUUGGUAAGGUAAGAGCUUACCAAGGCGACGAUCAGUAUCUGGUUUGAGAGGACGAUCAGACACACUGGAACUGAGACACGGUCCAGACUCCUACGGGAGGCAGCAGUGGGGAAUUUUCCGCAAUGGGCGAAAGCCUGACGGAGCAAUACCGCGUGAGGGAAGACUGCCUAUGGGUUGUAAACCUCUUUUUUCAGGGAGGAAUAAAAUGACGUGUACCUGAAGAAUAAGCAUCGGCUAACUCCGUG
This 436-nucleotide ribosomal RNA is filed under the name uncultured bacterium. RNAcentral describes it as "bacterial SSU rRNA". It matches the Rfam family "Bacterial small subunit ribosomal RNA", at positions 33 to 507 of the family's 1533-position model. The record is from RNAcentral.